This is a long non-coding RNA of Hemicordylus capensis (graceful crag lizard), 461 nucleotides long. RefSeq lists it as uncharacterized. The transcript has 3 exons. The record is from RefSeq and is a predicted model, not a curated record. Lineage: Eukaryota; Metazoa; Chordata; Lepidosauria; Squamata; Cordylidae.
CUGAUCCACCCACACUGCUGCAGACAUCUAAGGAAGUGCUGGUGGUCUUGUGCAAGCGUCAGAUACUUAAAGAACUGUGUGGUAUCUCGUUGGGCAAGCAAAAUCCCCUAUACUGCAAGACUGCAAAACCAGAAGGGAAUAGAGCAGAACCAGGAGUAGAGCAGACGGAAGCACAUGACAGCUGGUCAAAAAGUUCAAAUGACAAUAAGGGAGAUAGCACACACCAAUGUGAGAAUGUGCACUGCUUCCAGCAAUGUGUUUUAUAUUACCUGGAAGAAUAGAAAAGCAUUAAUGGGAGGAAACAACUUGAUUCUUACUGCCAAUACUACACAAAGCAGAACUUCCAAAUUAUACUUUGACUUCUUGACCAAAGGUGGCAGAUUACUUACCUUAAAAGUCUCAGGGCUUAGUUUUCCAUUUAUUUUACACCCUUAGUGGGACUGCAUUGGCAUAAAACAAUG